UUUCAGUGAGAGGUGGCAGGCUGGUGAGCCUGUGGGAAACAGGUAAAGUUCAGGUCAAAGAUACACUGAAAGCUCAUUAUCCAAGCAAAUAUUGCAGUGGUUUUGGAGAGAAGUCUGACCAGGGACUAGUAAAUUUUUUAAUGAAAGAAGCAAAAUUUCCUGAAGGAAGAUUCAAAAACACAGAUCUCUACUUCUUGUUUAAUGUAGAACUUCCAAGCCAGAGAAUCAGGCCUUGCUAGGCCUGCCAUGAUAAUUACGCAAAGGCAGAGAGAGGCACAGCUCACAGGCUCCUGCUUUAUUCUCGUUAGUUGGUACUACCUGACACUGGGUUUGAGCAGUCACAUUCUGGACUUUCUGACUUGAAGUGUGGUGUGAUAGAAGUAGAUUGAAAUAUACCAGAAGCUUUCCAUUGUGAGUCAAUAUGUGGUGAUUCUGCUUGUGGAGUUGAGCAAACUUCACCAACCUCAUGGAAUCCUGAAGCCCUCUGGGAGAUGAUUCACAUCAAGUUCCCAACCAGUGAUUCUGCUGCUGCUGCUGCUAAGUUGCUUCAGUCAUGUCGGACUCUGUGCAACCUCAUAGACGGCAGCCUGCCAGGCUCCCCCAUCUCUGGGAUUCUCCAGGCAAGAACACUGGAGUGGGUUGCCAUUUCCUUCUUCAGUGCAUGAAAGUGAAAAGUGAAAAUGAAGCCGCUCAUUUGUGUCUGACUCUAAGUGACCCCGUGGACUGCAGCCUACCAGGCUCCUCCCCUGGGAUUUUCCAGGCAAGAAUACUGGAGUGGGUUGCCAUUGCCUUCUCCAACCAAUGAUUCUAGAGCAGGCUAUAUAAAUUUUCUGUCAUUUUGCUAUUCAAACUAAAUGUGUUUACUUGUUUUAAGACCUCUCAAAACUAAUUUCAUUGUAGUAUUUUCAAUGCAGUAUCCAGCAUAGCAUGGUGGUUCAGAGCAUGAGAUUUGGGACCCAGGACAUGAACUGUCAUCUCUAUGGAUAUCCUGUCAGCUUUGAGAUCUUAGGCAAGUUACUUCAUCUUUUUUGAGCCUCAGUUUUCUCAUUUAUAUAAUGAGAAUACAUUCUAAUUCAAAGAAUGUUACAAAGUUAAGUGUGAUGCAAAAUAAACAUUGUUUGGAAGGGAAUAAAUAAAAUUAUCAAAUG
Bos taurus (domestic cattle) is the source of this 1148-nucleotide long non-coding RNA. Lineage: Eukaryota; Metazoa; Chordata; Mammalia; Artiodactyla; Bovidae. The record is from Ensembl.